CCUACGGGAGGCAGCAGUGGGGAAUAUUGCACAAUGGGGGGAACCCUGAUGCAGCGACGCCACGUGGGUGAGGAAGUACUUCGGUAUGUAAAGCCCUAUCUGCAGGGAAGUACAUGAAGGUACCUGACUAAGAAGCCCCGGCCAACUACGUUACAGCAGCCGCGGUAAUACGUAGGGGGCAAGCGGUAUCCGGAUUGACUGGGGGUAAAGGGAUCGUAGGCGGCGUGCCAAGUCUGGUGUGAAAGGCCGUGGCUGAACCCCGGGACUGCAUUGGCUACUGGCAGGCUGGAGUGCCGGAGGGGCAGGCGGAAUUCCUGGUGUAGCGGUGAAAUGCGUAGAUAUUAGGAGGAACAACGGUGGCGAAGGCGGCUUGCUGGACGGUAACUGACGUUGAGGCUCGAAAGCGUGGGGAGCAAACAGGAUUAGAUACCCCGGUAGUC
This 440-nucleotide ribosomal RNA is filed under the name uncultured bacterium. Its description in RNAcentral is "partial 16S ribosomal RNA". It matches the Rfam family "Bacterial small subunit ribosomal RNA", at positions 338 to 795 of the family's 1533-position model. The record is from RNAcentral.